UGCGACGCGGCUGCGCGAGGCGAGGGCGUAGCUCAGUAGAUAGCGCCCCACCACAGAGACCGAGAUAGCAGUACCUUGAGACAGUCUAGCUUAGGGGGACUAGAAGACAAGAAAAGAAAAUGUAUCAAACUUGUAAACUCUGAUGUAAUAAUGAGAUUGUAAUUUGGAAGUUAAAAUAUAAACUGAAACUGUGAUGUAAAGAGUGGUUGUAAAAUGAAUGCUUAUAAUAGCAAGUAGAUUAUGUAUUUG
RNAcentral lists this long non-coding RNA (249 nucleotides) under Ananas comosus (pineapple). RNAcentral's name for it is "long non-coding RNA (ACOM_LNC036974)". The record is from RNAcentral. Lineage: Eukaryota; Viridiplantae; Streptophyta; Magnoliopsida; Poales; Bromeliaceae.